Molecule: unclassified non-coding RNA, 346 nt
Filed under: Hevea brasiliensis (rubber tree)
Lineage: Eukaryota; Viridiplantae; Streptophyta; Magnoliopsida; Malpighiales; Euphorbiaceae
Source: RNAcentral
GUGGAUUGGGAGGCUUCAACUUUGAUUUCAAGAAUACUGGAAGGCAGAAUCUUGAUAUUCGUUAUGACCUUGAUUUGAGUUUUGAAGAGUCUAUAUUUGGAGGGCAGCGAGACAUCGAAGUACCUUGUCUGGAUGAAUGUGAUAGUUGUGACGGGACUGGUGCUAAAUCUAGCAGUUGUGUUAAAGUCUGUUCUGACUGUGGCGGAAGAGGAGGAGUGGUGAAAACACAGAAAACGCCUUUUGGAAUCAUGUCUCAGGUAUCUACAUGCUUGAAAUGUGGAGGUAAUGGAAAGAUAAUUACUGAUCAUUGUCGAAAAUGUGGUGGCCGUGGUCAAGUACAAUCAAA